This is a long non-coding RNA of Triticum aestivum (bread wheat), 1670 nucleotides long. RefSeq lists it as uncharacterized. The record is from RefSeq and is a predicted model, not a curated record. NCBI's taxonomy places the organism in Eukaryota, Viridiplantae, Streptophyta, Magnoliopsida, Poales, Poaceae. The transcript has 7 exons.
CAGGCUUUCUGCCCCCUGAGAACGUGUGCGCAGAAAGGAUGAACCCAUCCCGAGCCGUGCGCCCCUUCCCCUGUCCUCCUCCACCUUGCCUGGGCUCCGCCUCCUCCUCCUCUCUCUCUCUUCUGCGCCAACGGCCACUCCCUCGUUGCUGGACCCCGCCCUGCUUCGCCUCCGCCAGCCUCUUCCUCCUUGCCGUCGACGGCAGCGGUGUGAACUGGAGCAGCGGCCGCGACUAGAUGUGAUGAGUUGACUGGGCUGGUUCCACGCUGAGGAACGGACCCCCUCGACACCAUCCUCUGCGGCGCUACUCUGCUGCCUCCGUUUGUCACAGUUAAGGUUUGUGAUCUCUUCUGUAUUCCGCUUUCCAGGAGUUCUUGCCUUCAACGCUGAGGUGGAAUGGCUCUUCCCAUACUUGUCUCGCGAAGGUGGGGCUCGAAGAAGUAUGGCCCUGAUGCGCUAGGUUUGUCAUUUUUGUCAGCAUCCGCUUCCUUCGUUGGUUGUCGCUUGUUUGUACAUUGUUGUAGUUCAGAGACGCCACCCAAUUUGCUAAUAUAAUUGUUCAGUGCUCUCUCACAGCGAUUCUUACAAAAUUAUCAUGCAUACAGUUACCUGUUUAAGUAGAAUAUAAGCACUGUGUUAUUCAAAUGCAGAUUCUUUUGUAACUCAAGAGGUUAUAUUUUAAUUGCAUGCACUUACUUUAGCUUAGGGGUUCAUCUGUACGGGAGCACAUCAUUGGAGAGAAAGAUCAUGAUCAAAGGAAAUAGGUUUCAGCUUUCAGGCUCAUGCGCCUGUUUUCCUUUUUCCUUUUGAUGGGGCCGUUCAGGUGAGGUGAAGCAAGCAAGCACCUCCCCGUGUUUUAUAUUUGAGAUCGAGGAGAGAGCGAGCCAUUGCAGAGGAGAGGGGAUACGAGGAUGGGCGGAGGUCAGGCCUUGCUAACAGAUUUGUGGCGGAGUGGGAGAGGUGACCCCGGCCGGCCGGCGCCUCACCACCGGCUCCUGUUUGGCGGUGGCAAAGAGAAGGGUGCCGAGGAUGUGUUGCUCUAUGCAUGGGUGACGAAGUACAUCCUCGUUAUGAUGUGUAUGGUUUCUCUAUUUUCAGCCCUACUGCUCUUGAGCCCAAAUCCCAUGACCAUCCCCCCACCUCUCCUUCGUUGAAUGAAGGGAGUCUGGUUGCUAAAAAGUAUGGAAUUUUAAUUUGAUAGUCCGAACAACGGUGGGUAUUGAUGGAGCAAUCUACAUCUUUACAUGAUAAGCUGACACCUCAUAAGGAUCAGGAGAACAACAGAGAUGCUAAGAGGCAACCUUUUGGGGUUAAGGAUAUCAACAACAACAGGGCUUAUGAGGCCGAAGAGAGCUCGGGUGGCGUCUUUUGGUACUUGAAGCCCUGCAUGUUCCUGGUGUAGUAGCAGCAAAAUAAUUUGGAGGCUUUAAAGCUACUGCACUUCAUGUAGUUAGGAUCAAUUCUUUGUUUAGGUUUGAAAUAUUCCCCUGUUCCUCCUAUUUGAUUGAUUCAUCUGAUGGACAUUUUGUCAGGCAAAUAAACAAAAGGUAUAUGUAUUGUUCAAGAAAUUCAAGAAACAGAGAAAUGUUAUUGUUCUUCUACUAAUUGGUUGCUUGGCCAAAUGUAUUGUAAAUGAUUUAUUAUUGUUUGUUCUUCAUUGUAGUGGAUGA